This 486-nucleotide ribosomal RNA is filed under the name Musicillium theobromae. RNAcentral's name for it is "LSU rRNA". It matches the Rfam family "Eukaryotic large subunit ribosomal RNA", at positions 121 to 624 of the family's 3401-position model. The record is from RNAcentral. Lineage: Eukaryota; Fungi; Ascomycota; Sordariomycetes; Glomerellales; Plectosphaerellaceae.
UCUGGCUCCCUUGGGGGUCCGAGUUGUAAUUUGCAGAGGAUGCCUCGGGUGCGGGUUCCUUCCGAGUUCCCUGGAACGGGACGCCAUAGAGGGUGAGAGCCCCGUCUGGUCGGAAACCCAGCCCGUGUGAGGCUCCCUCUACUAGUCGAGUAGUUUGGGAAUGCUGCUCUAAGGGGAGGUAUACUCCUUCCAAGGCUAAAUACCGGCUAGAGACCGAUAGCGCACAAGUAGAGUGAUCGAAAGAUGAAAAGCACUUUGAAAAGAGAGUCAACCAGCACGUGAAAUUGUUGAAAGGGAAGCGCUUCAUACCAGACUUGGGUUCGGCGGUUCACCAGGUGCCACGCGCCGGGGCACUCCGCCGGCCCAGGCCAGCAUCAGCUUUCCGUCGGGGGCAAAGACGUCGGGAAUGUAGCUCCCCCCCGGGGGAGUGUUAUAGCCCGGCGUGUCAUACCCUUCGGGAGGCUGAGGUACGCGCUCCGCAAGGAU